RNAcentral lists this non-coding RNA (485 nucleotides) under Drosophila simulans. RNAcentral describes it as "Eukaryotic large subunit ribosomal RNA". It matches the Rfam family "Eukaryotic large subunit ribosomal RNA", at positions 2400 to 2733 of the family's 3401-position model. Lineage: Eukaryota; Metazoa; Arthropoda; Insecta; Diptera; Drosophilidae. The record is from Rfam by way of RNAcentral.
GGGAAAGAAAAANNUUUNGAGNUGGAGGGGAAUGGGGGAGGGAAAGGAGAAAUAAGAGGGGUAGAAAAAGUGGGAGAUAUUAGAAUUGGGUUUGGUAUAGUAAAAGAAAUAUAAUUAUUUUUAUUGUUUNUUUAUUUAUUUGAUAAAAUGGAAGGUGUAUAAUUUNUUAGUAAUUAUAUGGAUAUAUUUAUUAUAUUUAAUGGUAUUGGGUUUUGAUGNAAGUUUUUUGAUAAAAGUAUCAUGAGGGGGGGAAAAAAUCCCAAACAAAUUCUUUAAAAAAACGAUGCAUUUAUGUAUUUUUGAUUUGAAAAUUUGGUAUAACUCCAAUUACUCAGGUAUGAUCCAAUUCAAGGACAUUGCCAGGUAGGGAGUUUGACUGGGGCGGUACAUCUCUCAAAUAAUGACGGAGGUGUCCCAAGGCCAGCUCAGUGCGGACAGAAACCACACAUAGAGCAAAAGGGCAAAUGCUGACUUGAUCUCGGUGU